CCCAUUACCUGGGGCACCCAGCCCCAUGAAACCCCAUAAAAAGAAGAAAAGGGGAUAAUUUGGGGCGUCAAACUAGGCUGAGCGCAGGAUCCCGUGAACCCCACUGCCCCAUGGGGUACCAGCAUCCUCGGGCUCUUUAUGCUUGGGUUCUUUCCCACCACCCGCGUGCCCCGGGCUCCUUUCCUUAUUGCCCUUUAAUAGCCCUGCUCAGGAAGCACGCUGCUGCCUUUAUGGCCGGGUUAAUGAGUGGUGAAGGUGCUGCCACCUCCUCUGCUCCUCUCCCCGCUGCAGCCCCAGCCCCGCUCACCAGCACCGUGGGGAGAACCCGACCCCGAUGCCCGGCUGCUCGCCACGCUGCCGGGGAGAUCCAGACGUUGGAUGGGGUCAUCCAGCUGUGGGAUGGGGCAGAAAACCCCCACCGUGCAAAUCCCUUUUGGGGUGGGAUUUAGGAGCACCCCAACACCCCAUUUCACCCAGAUAUUUGCAUGGGGGCAAUGGGGAACCUUCUCCAGCUGUGCCCCCACCCCACAGUCCUUGCUUAUCCAGCCGUUCCCCAUCCAGCUGCGCACCCCAUCCAGCUGUUCUCCACCCAGAUAUUUCCCCAUCCAGCUGUGCGACCCCAUCCAGCUGUUCUCCCAUCCAGAUGUGGCCCCCAUCCUGCUCUCCUUCCCCAUCCACCUGCGCAUCCCCAUCCAGCUGUGCCCCCAACCAGCUAUUCCCAGUCCAGGUGUGCCCCUAUCCAUCUGUUCCCCAAUCCAGCUGUGCAUCCCAAAUCCAGCUGUACCCUGUUCAUAUAUUACCCCCAUCCAGCUGCUCCCCAUCCAGCUGCUCCCCAUCCAGCUGUGCACCCCAAAUCCAGCUGCUCCCCAUUCACAUAUUUCCCCCAUCCCGCUAUUCCCCAUCCAACUGUGACCCCCAUACAUCUGUUCACCGAUCCAGCCACGCACCCCAAAUCCAGCCACGCACCCCAAACCCAACUGCGCAUCCCAAAUCCAUCCACACACCCCAAAUCCAUCCACACACCCCAAAUCCCGUUGCGCAUCCCA
This 1046-nucleotide long non-coding RNA is filed under the name Cairina moschata (Muscovy duck). RNAcentral's name for it is "domestica (muscovy Duck (domestic type)) lncRNA (ENSCMMG00000000897.1)". Lineage: Eukaryota; Metazoa; Chordata; Aves; Anseriformes; Anatidae. The record is from RNAcentral.